RNAcentral lists this long non-coding RNA (372 nucleotides) under Bos taurus (domestic cattle). RNAcentral describes it as "long non-coding RNA NONBTAT012113". Lineage: Eukaryota; Metazoa; Chordata; Mammalia; Artiodactyla; Bovidae. The record is from RNAcentral.
GGAGCCAUUAUCUCUUAAGAUUCCCUACUUAAUACAGUUUUUUAGAGAGAAAAGAAGUUGUCAUUUACAGAAUUCAGAACAAUUCUGUUUAAAACACUUAUAAUAUAGUUGGGCUACUUGAUAAAUAUAAUUAAUUAUCUUUAUGUUAAUCACAAAAGCUUAAGGUCUCCUACAUCCAUUAAGGUUUUAAAUUUGUAUUUCUAUAGCCCCAUAAAUGUUUACAUUUAUGAUAAUAAUUAUAAAAGCAGACCAAUUUUGUGGACCUAAAAUGCUCAGCAAUAGCAUAUUAAAAAUUUAAAACCAUGAAUAUCUAACUUUUACACAAGAAACAUUUAAGCUGCAAACUUCUAAGGAAACCAUACCAAAAUUUUU